RNAcentral lists this long non-coding RNA (3043 nucleotides) under Nicotiana benthamiana. RNAcentral's name for it is "long non-coding RNA (NBEN_LNC012165)". Lineage: Eukaryota; Viridiplantae; Streptophyta; Magnoliopsida; Solanales; Solanaceae. The record is from RNAcentral.
UGAACCCUGAACUAGAGAUUCUUGGUUCGAUCCCAGUACAGUCGCCAGGGCUGUCACACCUCUUUUUUACCUACACCCCGCGGAGAGCGUAGAAAGGAAAUUUUUUCCGAUUUAAGUGACAAUCGAAACGAGAUUAUUUAUUAAAAAUUCAGAGUCGUCACUUGAAAUAAUUUAUGGUAUCCGUGUAAGGAAUUCUGUUGACCCGGAAGAAGGUGCUAGGCGUUCCAAGUUCCGUGAUUCUAGCACGGUCGUUCAACUGUUAUAACUGGCUUAAUUAUCUGAUUUUAAAACAUUUUGAACCUAUGCAAUUUUAACUUUAACCGCUUUUAUUUAUUUUUUGAAAUAUUGCAACGUUGUUAAAAUAUGUCCGAACCACGUCACAUAAAUGCAUCCACGGUCUUCGACAUAUUUUAACAUUGUUGAGAUUUGAAUUUACAUCACAUAAAUGUGCACCCGAAUUUAGGAAGGUGAAUAAAAAUAAUGCGCCUAAAGCAGCUACGCGUUUUUAACUUUGCGAGGGCCAUGAAAAUUUGCUAAAUGACACGCCUCGAAUUCUAAGAAUUUAAAAAUAAAUAAUUAAUGAGGGCCACACAUUUAAAAAUUUUGCUUGGCACAGCGCGCCUCAAUUCCAUUUUUAAAGGAAAUAGCAUUUAAUUAAGUGAACUAUGGAUAUGCAUAUCCACAACUAAUUUGAGUUUACAUCACCACCACAUCACGAGAUUACUAUGGGUAGUUAAGUAUACAACACAAAAACGAGCAAACCCAAUUGCAGGACUAACGACUGAAGUCCGACUCCAGCAUUUAAUAGAACCAAUUCGGAGUCCACUAUGCAUUUACUUGCCCAAUGACCAUUUGGCCCAAACGACACUGAUUCUAUAGCUUGAUUCACAUUUCCAAAACGAACUCAAUGCUUAACCCAUCCAACUCAAAUGACUUCAAGUUAAUUUAAAAACAAACUUUGGCUUUGGCUGAUAUGAAAUCACGCUGGUAAUGUAAAUAUGAAUCAUCAAACUGAGCAACAAAAAAAUUGCUUGUUUUAGUUUUAGAUUUCCACUACAAUGAUCCAUGACCAUCUGAUUUAGGCUUAUACCAAGAUUUAUGCAUAUUCAACCAAGCAUGCCUUGUUUUCAAUCAAAGACAUAUUACACUAGAGAUCAACAUAUUUGCAUUCAUUAAAAUGGCAGUCUUAAAACAUCAAUUUAAGGAGCAAAACAUUCAGUCCUUUUAACCAGACACAAGCUAGAUCUUCAUGAACUAAAUGACAAGUUAAAAGCUGGAAAAGAAACAAAACUUGGACCAAAUUUGUAGAGUAACCUCAUGAAAGAAUAUGGAUCAAACUAGGCAUGAAUCCUAUAAAUACAUAAGAAAAACAACGAACAGAAGGUGUUUUCCCUGCAAAUCCUUCCAAUAUAAGAUGUAGGCGAACUCAUAGAAACUCUCAAUAGCAUAAAUGAAGAUGAUAGAAUACAGAUGCACUAAACUACAGAAUUCUUGAGAGAAACACAACUAAUAUUUGCUAUCAAGAAACUUAGUGCACAUCUUGAGCUUCCAAUUGAUUUUAUGACUUCAAAUUCAAAGGUCAUACAUUCAUGGGUCUAAGAAGUACCUAGAAAGCAAAAAGAAAUAAAAUAGUGAAACGUCAGCAACAACAAACGAUGGUCAGCCAUACCUGGAAAAGCAGAAAUAAAUAGAAUAGUGCAAGGUCAGCAAUUUAAAACGAUGGUCAGCAACAGUGCUAACUGAAUGAAGUCAGUUUCAGCUCCAAACCAAUUCCACACAGACCCAGAUUCAAUUUCAAAUCUCAAAAACAAAUGAAAAUAGCAUUCCAAACACAAAUUGAGCUCAAAAUCAACUUUUGAAAACCAAAUUAACCAUCCUGAACCCCAUUUACAUCAAAGGCUACUCUCUAGAGAUCAAUUUCAGAAAAGAAAGACCAAUGGAAUAGUGUUUUUUUUAAAAGAACCUCGGUCGUCCUAUUUUCUCUGAUUUUUAUCUCCCAAAGUCUCCCUUGAAUGGUAAGAUAGGAUGCCUUUAUAGGCGAGAAAAGUAGGGCAGCCUAGACAAUUCAUUUUUGCACUUAGACCCUUUUCCAAUUCUCAUUUUAGUUUCUUGCUUGUUAACCAAGCUAGCCUACUUUCAGUUUUCUAGACGCUUCUUAAACAGUUACCAAAAGAUUCCCCUUUUCCUAUUUCCUAAACUACCCUCCCAACUCUGAAAAUUACACUCCCAUGCCAACCAGGGCAUAAAUACAAUUGGCCAAAACUAAUGGGUUCAGAUAAAACCCAAUUCAACCCUUCCUGGGUCUUUUAAUAUUAGGAGGCUUCUUUUAUCAGUGAAGAGCCCACGUUUCACAAGCUAAACCAUAGAGUCUCAGGGACUCGUGAAGUUUGGGUUUUAAGCAAAAUGAAAACAAAGGAAAAAGAAUAAAAGCAAGUUUUCAAAUUUAACAUCUGAAGCCAUUAUUGACUUCACAAGCUUGGGACCAAACAGGCAAGCAUGAAAAAUGAAACAAAAAUGCAAAAUAACAGUCUAAACAGAUGAGGACACAAUGUAAAAAAAAAAGGACAAUAACGACCUAAGUGAAGAGAAUACCAUCUCUAGAGACGACGAAUCGUAGCUUGACCAGACCUUGACAACUUCGUGAUGGGUCGGAACUCACAUUAUUCAACGGCUCUUUGCCCAAACGCCAUUAACUAAUGUCAACUUUGACUCAAAGCAUGCCAAAAAUCAUCGACAAAAUUAAGAAGUGAGAUCUUGACAAUUUCGACUACUUUGGAUUUGAGAUUUAAGGGAUUCCAUAGGGUAUUUUGGGAAAUGGGGGCUGGGGGUAUGAUUUAGACAGGUUUGGCGGUCGCCUGACAUGGAUUUGAGGUGGUUUGAGCUCUGUCGCUGCCGAAGAUGGGGAAGGGGUGUGGGGGUGGCGAUGGAUCGAAUGGGAUAGACAAGGUACAUGGGUGUUUGGAGGAAAUGAGGAGUCUCUGACCCUUUUUGGACAUAUUAAUGGUUUGAAGAGAUGGGUUUCAGACCAUUUAAUGCAUCAAAA